This 838-nucleotide long non-coding RNA is filed under the name Homo sapiens (human). Its description in RNAcentral is "PREDICTED lncRNA (TCONS_00241012)". The record is from RNAcentral. Lineage: Eukaryota; Metazoa; Chordata; Mammalia; Primates; Hominidae.
AUUCUAGCACCCCAACGCCUACCUCAGCCCCCAACUCUAAAUAACUUCUUUCCACCUUGCUAAGAAUGCAACGUUGUGAUUCACAUCAAGCUUUAGGAGGCUCCCCAUAUGUAGGGAACUGGGGUGAGGGGCAGGGCAGGAUUCACUGUUCCAGGUUACGGAGCUUUGGUUAACACGGAGAGAAGCUACACAUAGACUCACACAGUAUGCAAAUACCUAUGGAGAUACAUAAGGAAAGGCCCCGGCCUGGUUAAGGAAAAGGAGCCGAUAAAACCUCUCCAGUAUGCAUUCUUAGAAACCAGAUAUACAAAGACAAGAUCUCUGCUUUCAAGAAGCUCUCAAUCUGAUUGAGGAGAGAAACAGGUAGCAAAUAAUGGCAGCAGAGCAUGGUCAUUCAACAUUUAUUCAACCAAAAAUACUAAGUCAGCUCUAUACAAACUAAUGGAAGGAUACAGCUAUGCAAAUAUAGAACACUAAAGUGUUACAUGACAGAUGUAUGAGAAGUACCUUUUGCCUCCCACUGUGAUUCUGAGGCCUCCCCAGCCAUGUGCAACUGUAAGUCCAAUGAAACCUCUUUUUCUCCUCAGUUUUGGGUAUGUCUUUAUCAGCAGCGUGAAAAUGGACUAAUACGAUCACCCUCUUCUUUGUUCUCCUUUCUAUUUCAUCUCUAAUUUUUUUUGGCAUUUGGAGGGUGCUAUACAUUGCAAAAGUUGGGGACUCACUAAUUCCACUGCUCACUGUAUAUCAAGGUAAUCUGUCAGGGGUUUGGUUUUAUAUAAGAAACAAAUGAGUCCCCAGAACAUACAAGUUAAGAUUAUUCAAUCAAGGGAGGCAGUCA